AGUCGAACGGCAGCACGGGAGCAAUCCUGGUGGCGAGUGGCGAACGGGUGAGUAAUAUAUCGGAACGUGCCCAGUAGUGGGGGAUAGCCCGGCGAAAGCCGGAAUAAUACCGCAUGAGACCUGAGGGUGAAAGCGGGGGAUCGCAAGACCUCGCGCUACUGGAGCGGCCGAUAUCAGAUUAGCUAGUUGGUGGGGUAAAAGCUCACCAAGGCAACGAUCUGUAGUUGGUCUGAGAGGACGACCAGCCACACUGGGACUGAGACACGGCCCAGACUCCUACGGGAGGCAGCAGUGGGGAAUUUUGGACAAUGGGCGCAAGCCUGAUCCAGCAAUGCCGCGUGCAGGAAGAAGGCCUUCGGGUUGUAAACUGCUUUUGUCAGGGAAGAAAUCCUCUGGGUUAAUACCUCGGGGGGAUGACGGUACCUGAAGAAUAAGCACCGGCUAACUACGUGCCAGCAGCCGCGGUAAUACGUAGGGUGCGAGCGUUAAUCGGAAUUACUGGGCGUAAAGCGUGCGCAGGCGGCUUUGCAAGACAGAUGUGAAAUCCCCGGGCUCAACCUGGGAACUGCAUUUGUGACUGCAAGGCUAGAGUACGGUAGAGGGGGAUGGAAUUCCGCGUGUAGCAGUGAAAUGCGUAGAUAUGCGGAGGAAACACCAUGGCGAAGGCNAUCCCCUGGACCUGUACUGACGCUCAUGCACGAAGCGUGGGGAGCAACAGGAUAGAUACCCUGUAGUCCACGCCUAACAUGUCACUGGUGUG
This 760-nucleotide ribosomal RNA is filed under the name uncultured bacterium. Its description in RNAcentral is "bacterial SSU rRNA". It matches the Rfam family "Bacterial small subunit ribosomal RNA", at positions 60 to 819 of the family's 1533-position model. The record is from RNAcentral.